This 64-nucleotide ribosomal RNA is filed under the name Salmonella enterica subsp. enterica serovar Saintpaul. Its description in RNAcentral is "partial 16S ribosomal RNA". The stretch from base 1 to 50 matches the Rfam family "Bacterial small subunit ribosomal RNA", at positions 1484 to 1533 of the family's 1533-position model. The record is from RNAcentral. RNAcentral also lists the same sequence under 1 other name. Lineage: Bacteria; Pseudomonadati; Pseudomonadota; Gammaproteobacteria; Enterobacterales; Enterobacteriaceae.
AGUCGUAACAAGGUAACCGUAGGGGAACCUGCGGUUGGAUCACCUCCUUACCUGAAAGAACUGU